Molecule: ribosomal RNA, 914 nt
Filed under: uncultured marine archaeon
Lineage: Archaea
Description: bacterial SSU rRNA
Rfam family: Archaeal small subunit ribosomal RNA
Source: RNAcentral
UUCCGGUUGAUCCCGCCGGACCUGACUGCUAUCGGAUUGAUACUAAGCCAUGCGAGUCUUUGUAGUAAUACAAGGCAUACGGCUCAGUAACGCGUAGUCAACCUACCCUAUGGACAAGAAUAAUCUCGGGAAACUGAGCAUAAUUCUUGAUAGAUCAUAAUGUCUGGAAUGGUUUAUGGUUAAAAUGAUUCGUCGCCAUAGGAUGGGACUGCGGCCUAUCAGCUUGUUGGUGAGGUAAUGGCCCACCAAGGCGAUAACAGGUACGGGCUCUGAGAGGAGAAGCCCGGAGAUGGGUACUGAGACAAGGACCCAGGCCCUAUGGGGCGCAGCAGGCGAGAAAACUUUGCAAUGUGCGAAAGCACGACAAGGUUAAUCCGAGUGAUUUCUGCUAAAGAAAUCUUUUGCAAGUCAUAAAACCACUAGUGAAUAAGGGGUGGGCAAGUUCUGGUGUCAGCCGCCGCGGUAAAACCAGCACCUCAAGUGGUCAGGAGGAUUAUUGGGCCUAAAGCAUCCGUAGCCGGCUCUGUAAGUUUUCGGUCAAAUCCAUGUGCUCAACACAUGGGCUGCCGAAAAUACUGCAUAGCUAGGGAGUGGGAGAGGUAGACGGUACUCGGUAGGAAGGGGUAAAAUCCUUUGAUCUAUCGAUGACCACCUGUGGCGAAGGCGGUCUACCAGAACACGUUCGACGGUGAGGGAUGAAAGCUGGGGGAGCAAACCGGAUUAGAUACCCGGGUAGUCCCAGCUGUAAACGAUGCAGACUCGAUGAUGCAUUGGCAUAUAGCCAGUGCAGUGUCGCAGGGAAGCCGUUAAGUCUGCCGCCUGGGAAGUACGUACGCAAGUAUGAAACUUAAAGGAAUUGGCGGGGGAGCACCACAAGGGGUGAAGCCUGCGGUUCAAUUGGAUUCAACGCCGGG